RNAcentral lists this ribosomal RNA (253 nucleotides) under uncultured bacterium. RNAcentral describes it as "partial 16S ribosomal RNA". It matches the Rfam family "Bacterial small subunit ribosomal RNA", at positions 524 to 776 of the family's 1533-position model. The record is from RNAcentral.
UACGAAGGGGGCUAGCGUUGUUCGGAAUUACUGGGCGUAAAGCGCACGUAGGCGGGUCGUUAAGUCAGGGGUGAAAUCCCGGAGCUCAACUCCGGAACUGCCUUUGAUACUGGCGAUCUAGAGGUCGAGAGAGGUGAGUGGAAUUCCACGUGUAGCGGUGAAAUGCGUAGAGAUGUGGAGGAACACCAGUGGCGAAGGCGACUCUUUGGCCUGUAACUGACGCUGAGGCGCGAAAGCGUGGGGAGCAAACAGG